CAGGGAGGUGAAUGUGAU
This 18-nucleotide microRNA is filed under the name Homo sapiens (human). RNAcentral describes it as "hsa-miR-1321". The record is from miRBase by way of RNAcentral. Lineage: Eukaryota; Metazoa; Chordata; Mammalia; Primates; Hominidae.